Molecule: ribosomal RNA, 585 nt
Filed under: Escherichia coli
Lineage: Bacteria; Pseudomonadati; Pseudomonadota; Gammaproteobacteria; Enterobacterales; Enterobacteriaceae
Description: partial 23S ribosomal RNA
Rfam family: Bacterial large subunit ribosomal RNA
Source: RNAcentral
UUGUAUAAUGGGUCAGCGACUUAUAUUCUGUAGCAAGGUUAACCGAAUAGGGGAGCCGAAGGGAAACCGAGUCUUAACUGGGCGUUAAGUUGCAGGGUAUAGACCCGAAACCCGGUGAUCUAGCCAUGGGCAGGUUGAAGGUUGGGUAACACUAACUGGAGGACCGAACCGACUAAUGUUGAAAAAUUAGCGGAUGACUUGUGGCUGGGGGUGAAAGGCCAAUCAAACCGGGAGAUAGCUGGUUCUCCCCGAAAGCUAUUUAGGUAGCGCCUCGUGAAUUCAUCUCCGGGGGUAGAGCACUGUUUCGGCAAGGGGGUCAUCCCGACUUACCAACCCGAUGCAAACUGCGAAUACCGGAGAAUGUUAUCACGGGAGACACACGGCGGGUGCUAACGUCCGUCGUGAAGAGGGAAACAACCCAGACCGCCAGCUAAGGUCCCAAAGUCAUGGUUAAGUGGGAAACGAUGUGGGAAGGCCCAGACAGCCAGGAUGUUGGCUUAGAAGCAGCCAUCAUUUAAAGAAAGCGUAAUAGCUCACUGGUCGAGUCGGCCUGCGCGGAAGAUGUAACGGGGCUAAACCAUGCAC